AUGGCUGGGUUUCCAUAUCUCCCUGAUCAGUGAAAAAAUUAAAAAUUAGAAAAACAAAAAUAACUAUUUAAAAUAAAAGAAACUGAACAUAAGAUUGCUAAAUUAGGUUAAUGAAGAACUAAUAUCUUUUACAACCCAAAAAAAAAGAAAGGAAGCCUGAUUUAACAUUGUGAUUUUCUUAAAGAAUUUCUGACAUUGUUUAUCAAUCAAAUACCUUGAUGUUGAUGAGAGUAUUAUCCCCCAUGUGCAUAUUUAAGAGUUAAGAGAGAUCACAAACCUCUAGCAUACUUUCAUCGAUAU
This 300-nucleotide unclassified non-coding RNA is filed under the name Hevea brasiliensis (rubber tree). The record is from RNAcentral. Lineage: Eukaryota; Viridiplantae; Streptophyta; Magnoliopsida; Malpighiales; Euphorbiaceae.